GACGAACGCUGGCGGCGUGCCUAAUACAUGCAAGUAGAACGCUGAAGAGAGGAGCUUGCUCUUCUUGGAUGAGUUGCGAACGGGUGAGUAACGCGUAGGUAACCUGCCUUGUAGCGGGGGAUCACUAUUGGAAACGAUAGCUAAUACCGCAUAACAAUGGAUGACACAUGUCAUUUAUUUGAAAGGGGCAAUUGCUCCACUACAAGAUGGACCUGCGUUGUAUUAGCUAGUAGGUGGGGUAAUGGCGCACCUAGGCGACGAUACAUAGCCGACCUGAGAGGGUGGGCGGCCACACUGAGACGGAGACACGGCCCAGUCGGCUACGGGAGGCAGCAGUAGGGAAUCUGGAGGAAGGGGGGCAACCCUGAGCGAGCAACGCCGCAUGCGGGAAGAAGGUUUUCGGAUCGGAGAGCUCUGUUGUAAGUCAAGAACGGGUGUGAGAGUGGAAAGUUCACACUGUGACGGUAGCUUAUCAGAAAGGGACGGCUAACUACGUG
This 497-nucleotide ribosomal RNA is filed under the name uncultured bacterium. RNAcentral's name for it is "partial 16S ribosomal RNA". It matches the Rfam family "Bacterial small subunit ribosomal RNA", at positions 28 to 507 of the family's 1533-position model. The record is from RNAcentral.